Callithrix jacchus (white-tufted-ear marmoset) is the source of this 2110-nucleotide long non-coding RNA. RefSeq lists it as uncharacterized. The record is from RefSeq and is a predicted model, not a curated record. Lineage: Eukaryota; Metazoa; Chordata; Mammalia; Primates; Cebidae.
UCUUUUACUCUUCCUUCUCUUUUCUUUCUGCUCCUUCCCUCUUACUAAAUUUAUGGUUCAGGGUCCUACAGAAGUCAGGGAAAAGGGGAUGGGUAGAAGAGAAAAAGGUUGGGGGAUGAUUUCACUUAGAAGAGUUUUACUGUUCUCUUGUUUGUUAAAUAUGCUGACGCAAACCCCACAGCUAGUCCCCUCCUGCCACAGAGCCUCUACUGCCACCUGAGGCCGGCACUGCCAUCUCUUAUUGACCUCCUGCAAUCCUCUUACAGCUCCUGCUCCAAUGAUUGUCUCCGGUGGAAUCAUCCAGGGAACUUCAGCUGGAGAUCCCUUUCAUGCUGCCUACUUGUCUCAUUCUUGUCAUGCGGAUCCCUGGCAAAUGCAUCAGCUUUCUCCACUCCACUAGCUGUCCUGUGACAAUCCUGUGAAGCUUCACCUGCUAUUUGGAGAGAACAAGGAAGUGCCUGUUAGCAUCCUUUUAUACUCUCUGUGAACAUGAUGAAGAACUAACAGAGUUCUCAGCCUCUAGGCUUGUGCGUCUCUCUGUCCUGUCACAGGACUUUGCAAUGUGUGGAUUUUAAAAGCUCAAGAAGGCCAGGCCUGGACUUUGACAUCCUGAUCCAUACUACACAGCUGCCUUUGACGUGACACAGAUGCCUACCUGACCAGUCUCAUCUGAAUUACUAGGAGGAAAAGAGAAGGGAAGAAAGAGAAGAAGAAGAGGAGAAUGUACAGAAUUUCAGUAGUUUCAUGGGGUGCUGUGGUACAGUCAGAGGAGUUGGAGUUGCACCCCCUCUUACAACUGGAAAAGAAAAUUUUGGGCAAACAUUGCAGCAUGAAGGUCAGACAGGUCAUGGUGUGUUAAAAAUCCCUCUUCUAUCACAUUAAAUAUUUAGACAGUGUAAGUUGGCUCAGUAGCAGGAAUUGUGGCUAGAGAGGUAGGCUGGCCACAAUCUGUGAAGGACGGUGAGUUUCUAUCAUGUAGAGAAGCUGUGUCUGCUGCAUUGGGUGCUCAGUAAAUAUUUAAUUAAUGAAUUUUGAAUGGAUGCUAUAUAUCAACCAUUAUCAGUAAGGAGUGGCCUGGAGAGAGAUAGAGCCAAAUUAGAAACAUGAUUUCGUUCCAGAGCAAAUUUCCUCACCUUGGAAACUGGAAAACAAAUUAUUCUUUAAGCUUUGUCUCCUACCUUUUGGGAAUCAUUCCUACUUCCUGCCAUCUUUUAAGUUAGAUGCUCACCAACCUUUCUUCCUACAAUACUUUACACAUAUUUGUGUCUCUACACUGAAACAUUGUUUUAUAUACAAAAUGUGAUACAGAAAACAUCUGCAAAUACUUUAAGCCAAUAUGUAAGGGGGUGCUUUUUAAAUAUUGUGGUUUUAUCUCUAGUUAUUGAGUUUUUAUGGAACAAACUAGCUUUGAUCUUAAGCACAGGGGUGGGAGUGUUGUGCAUUGAUUUAGCCAAUAAGAGGCACAAAGUAAGCAAGCCAGAGGACAGUGGUACAGAGAUGGAGUGGUCAGAAACCGCUCUCAUUCUAAGAGACUCAUUUUUCUAAUGUGAUAAUUGCUAUUUAUUUUAUAGGCUUGCACAUGACAUAUCACCACCACUGAAACUGCUUCUAAUUCUGCUUUUAUUAUUAACCUCACUUUUCAAUUCUUUAUCGACCUUGGGCAAGACUAUUUUCCUCUUCAUAGCAUCAAUAGAAAAGCUAGUUCAAGUUUGCUUUAAAAGGAAUUAAUCUCAAAGCUAUUUCAACAUUUUAAAAGGACUUCAUAUGAGAAUGUUAAUAGCUGCUAUUAGGCUUGGAAUCAGUCCUUCCCUAAGAGGGAAACAAAAGUCCAGGUUUAGUGUCAUUUUAUCAGAGAAACUAAUAGGAUGGCUGUAAAAAGUUGUCAUAGAGCAGCUUGAUGCAGUAGAAAAAUCCGACAGAGACCAGCAUGCCCAGCUAUUGCAUUUUCUAGCGGUGUGAACUUAGAUAAAUAGCUAAACCUCUCUGUAUCUUGGUUUCUUCAUCUGCAAGAUGUAACUACAUUUUAUUUAUUGUUUUAUGUCAGUUUCCUGAACCUAUUCUCUGAAACAUUUAAAAGGAAGGAAGGAAGGAAGGAGGGAAGGAAGGAAGG